Molecule: long non-coding RNA, 98 nt
Organism: Thalassophryne amazonica
Lineage: Eukaryota; Metazoa; Chordata; Actinopteri; Batrachoidiformes; Batrachoididae
Exons: 3
Source: RefSeq, a predicted model, not a curated record
UGCUGUGUGUCAGCCUGAUUCCGUCAGAUCUCAGAGGCUAAGCAGUGUGGGACCUGGUUAGUACUUGGAUGGGAGACCUCUAAGGAAAGCUGUGUUUC